Molecule: ribosomal RNA, 492 nt
Filed under: uncultured bacterium
Lineage: Bacteria
Description: partial 16S ribosomal RNA
Rfam family: Bacterial small subunit ribosomal RNA
Source: RNAcentral
AGUGAACGCUGGCGGCAGGCCUAACACAUGCAAGUCGAACGGCAGCACAGUAAGAGCUUGCUCUUACGGGUGGCGAGUGGCGGACGGGUGAGGAAUACAUCGGAAUCUACUUUUUCGGGGGGGAUAACGUAGGGAAACUUACGCUAAUACCGCAUAUGACCUACGGGUGAAAGCAGGGGAUCUUCGGACCUUGCGCGAUUGAAUGAGCCGAUGUCGGAUUAGCUAGUUGGCGGGGUAAAGGCCCACCAAGGCGACGAUCCGUAGCCGGUCUGAGAGGAUGAUCAGCCACACUGGAACUGAGACACGGUCCAGACUCCUACGGGAGGCAGCAGUGGGGAAUAUUGGGCAAUGGGCGCAAGCCUGAUCCAGCCAUACCGCGUGGGUGAAGAAGGCCUUCGGGUUGUAAAGCCCUUUUGUUGGGAAAGAAAAGCAGCAGGUUAAUACCCCGCUGUUCUGACGGUACCCAAAGAAUAAGCACCGGCUAACUUCGUG